CUUUGACAAGCCUCAUGCCAGAUCCUGGUAAGAAUGGUGGUACCUGGGGGAUCUCCAAGAGCAGCUUCAAGAGUCAACUAUCCCAGUAAUCCCUACAGUUGGAGAAUUUCGUGCCAGUGGAAAAAUCUAUGGCAUCUCACAAACUGUGAAGCUGAGAAAUCUACCUAGAUCCUGCCACAGAACAAAAUGGCAGCCUCUUUUCUUUCCGUGAAAGGAAACUUUGCAAGAGACGGUAGCUUUCCUACUGGGCUGUUAUCAAAUUAAUGACCUUGCCUCUUUUAAACCCUUACUUUUGAAAGGAUGCAGAAACACAGCAACUAUUGCAGGAUUCAAUGAGACAGAGGAGCAGGGUGAUGCUGGUGUUAGUAAUAAUUUUAAUACUUUUAACGAUAAUAAUAAUAUCUAAUAUUUAUGGGAUGGUUAUUAUAUGCCAAGCCCUAGAACAGCGGUUCUCAACAAGGGGUGAUUUUUACCACGCCCCCCACCCCCAACCCCUGCUCCAAGGGACAUUUGGAAAUUUCCAGAGACAUUUUUGGUGGUGUUGAUGGACAGGAUGGUGUUUGGUGGUUGGGUUGCUACUAACAUCUAGUGGGUAGAAGUUAAGGAAGCUGCUAAAUGUCCUACAAUGCACAAGAUAGCACCCUUGGCCCCCAACAAAGAAUUAUCCCACCCAAAAUGUAAAUAGAGUUGGGGCUGAGUAACACUGCAAUAGACUGAGGCUUUUCCAUGCAUUUAACCUUCACAAUGACCCUAUGAGACACACACUUUUACUAUCCCCACUUUUCAGAUGAGAACAUUUAAGGGACUAGCAUAAAGGAACUAGCUCCAAUUGCUUUGAUCUUUGAACAGCCUCAGGUUUCUUUCUUGAGAUCUAUUGGGAACUAGGAUCAUUGCAGAAAAAUGCAGAUUUGCCCAGAGGCUGGGAAUUAGUUCCCUCCAACGUCAGCAUGAAAGUUACUCAGCUCAGGCUGACCCAAUUCCUAUCCCAUUCUGGGAUGACGCUGACCAACAGCUGGUCAUUGGAGCAGUGGGGAGAAGAUAUUAUAUAAUGUCUACAAAAGUAAUGAAAAGUUGAGUUAACUGCUAAGAUAAGCAACCAGAAAGAUAGAGAGUGAGAAUAUACACUGAUUUAAAAAUAUGUUUUUUCUAAGCAUGAUAUGGAGACUGUUCCCCCACAUCCUGUGUUCUUUAUUCCUAAUUUCAGAUAGUGCUGUGGCAUGGGCUGCUGAAACAAAGGUCUCGAUGCCAUGAGAAUCAGACGAGAGAGGCAAUCUCUACCCUGCAACCUUAUACAGAAUUAGGUCAUCGAAUUCCAAGAGUGUUGGGUCCCCUGGAAGACAACUUCUGUUUUUUCUCUUUUUUUCCUUUUUGAUAAAUGCCUAGCUCCUAGUCAAAAUAUUUAUGACAAGAGACAGGAAAAUCAGGCUUUUUCUUUAAACCAUUUCUCAGUGUCUGGCUUGGAUGUCCCGACUACUUCUCUUUCUUCUGCUCUGUUUUCUAUUCUUUUAUUUUUGUCAACUUUUUCACAGUUUUCCCGAUUUUCACCUUCUCUUCUCUCCUGCAAUGGUGGUUCCCACUACCCAUGUAAAAUGUGUAGGAAGGGAAGAGAGAAUUGUCUAAAUAAUUAGACAGACCAUCUGCUGGGCACAUUGGUGUGGUUGGGGACAUGAGGGUGAUGGCCUCUUUAGUGGUAGUGAAAGAACACUGAAGGUCUCAUCUGAAGCCUCAACUAGAGAAAAAUUGACUUCUAAGCUCACUCAUGUGGUUGUUGGCAGGAUUCAGGACCUUAAGAAGGCACUUGAGAGAGACUGCUACCAAAAGUCACAACUUUAUAUAAAUGAAUUUUGGAAGUGACAGCCCAUCACUUGUGUGUAUUCAACUGAUUAGAAGGAAGCCACUAAGUCCAGCCUGCAUUCCAGAAGAGUAUUACACCAGAGCUUGAAUCCUCAUCAUCUUCACCUUGAGUAGACUGACGAGGAGGAGAAAGAGGAGGGGGUUGUUCUUGCUGUCUAAGGGGUGGCAGAGGUGGAAGAAAAUCCACAUUUAAGUCACCCACAUAGCUCAAACCCGUGUUGUUCAAGGAUCAACUGCAUAUUUAUAUACAUUUCAUAUAUCAGUUAAUACUAAAUUGCGAAACUCGAAAAUGGAUAAUUACCUUUGAGGGACCAGUUAAUGAGACUCCAAAAUGAGUAAGAUUUACCUUUGAGGGCCUGUCCUCAGUCUAGACCAGUAGUCAGCACUAUGUCCUGUGGGUUCAGUCUGCCCUUCACCCCAUCCGUUUUUGUAUAGUUCCUGAGACAAGAAUAGUCUUUACAUUUUUUAAAUGUUUGAAAAACCAAAAGAAGAAUGAUAUUUUGUGACACAUGAAAAUGAUAUGAAAUUCAAAUGGCAGGGCCUAUGAAGUGUUAUUGGAACAUAGUCACAGCCAUUAGUUUACAUACUGUCUAUUAUAGGCUGAAUGUUUAUGUCCUCCCAGAAUUCAUAUGUUGCAAUCUAAUCCCCAAUGUGAUAGUGUUUGGAAGUGGGGCCUUUGGAAGGUUAUUAGGGCAUGAGGCUGGAGCUCCCAUCAAUGGGAUUAGUGCCCUUAUAUAAGAGGCCCCAGAGAGCCCCCACUUCCCUUCCACCAUGUGAGGACACUUAAAAAAAUGCCUUCUCCCACCAUGUGAGGACACUUAAAAAAAUGCCUUCUAUGAACCAGGAAGUGGGUUCUCCCAAGACAUGGAAUCUGCUGGCCCCUUGAUGUUGGACUUUCCAUCUGGCAGAACGUGGUCAAAGAAGGAAGAGAAUCAUCAAUGGCCUUCUUUCCCUCCUCCUUUUUUUUUUUUUUUUAACAAAGAAGCUAAAUGAGUCUAUGUUAAGCCCCAAAGGGAAUUGCGUUCAUUGCAGGACUUUUCGAGGCCUGGUGGAGCCAUUUAUGUAAACAAAUUAUGCAGUUCCUCCUUCAGCAACCUGGAUCCUGCGAGUGAGUGAGUGUGAUGCUCCUACUACAGGCUUUUGUUCUUUUCAUCAGCAAGACUUCACAGAAUGGAGAAAAAUUAAAGAGAGAAAUGAUCCAUGGUGUAUUUCCUUACCUGGCUAUAAACUGGCGUCAUUUUGGCUCCAGGGAGAACAGAAAGAGAGAUCAGCAGUGAGCACAGUACCUGGGAGAAGAAGGAAGGGAGGUCUGUCCUGUUGCCAUCCGGGGAGUGUGCACCUUGGGACGGGAUAGGAACUCUGCACAGAAAUAAACAAGAGCAAAUAGUCAACAGGGGAUCUUUUAGAGGAGAUAAAUCUAUUGGAGCUUUUCAAGAGAGAAAGAGAGACAGAAAUCAGCGUGGCUCAUCAAAAAUAAAAAUAAAAGGAAGACGUAUGUCCAGAAA
Non-coding RNA from Microcebus murinus (gray mouse lemur), 3359 nucleotides. Lineage: Eukaryota; Metazoa; Chordata; Mammalia; Primates; Cheirogaleidae. The record is from RefSeq and is a predicted model, not a curated record.